Molecule: long non-coding RNA, 577 nt
Organism: Camponotus floridanus (Florida carpenter ant)
Lineage: Eukaryota; Metazoa; Arthropoda; Insecta; Hymenoptera; Formicidae
Exons: 3
Source: RefSeq, a predicted model, not a curated record
UUCCAUCGAUAGAUUCAUCGAGAGUCAGUGCUUCAUUAUCAAUACCUUCGUCUAGAUAUAUGAUUUUCAUGUGCUUCUCGACCGGAUGAUAGAGCAGGCCGCAGACUAACGUAUUUAGCGUGAUUCCGCCCAUAAUGAGUACCGCUCCUCUGGAAUAUGACAGAAAAUUUAAUUAAUUACCUGUAUCCAAAGCAAUCCAGCAGAUAUUGUAGUAAUGGUGGUAGCACUAUAGUGCCAAUCGCGCUGCCGGAAAUGCACAAACCAUUUGCUACCCCUCGUAACUUCUCGAAAUACUGCGUGACGAUGUAAACCGUCGGUGGAAAUGAUAAUCCAGCACCGAUUCCGACCAUAAGUCCAUAACUGCGUAUAAAAAGAUUGUUAAGUCUACAAGAAAUGCUACGAAAUGAAAAUUUCAAAUUCUUAUCUUCCAGAAUGCCAUGAAAAAUAUUUCGAUACGUCGAACACUUUGCGAAUCAAAAUGCAAUUGACAUGUGUGCUCUCUUAGAAAAAAAAUUAAAAUUCCAAGCGGAUUUAAACCAAGGAUUAAUAUAUUCUUACGGAAUUGUAUUUACCUAAC